RNAcentral lists this ribosomal RNA (441 nucleotides) under uncultured bacterium. RNAcentral describes it as "partial 16S ribosomal RNA". It matches the Rfam family "Bacterial small subunit ribosomal RNA", at positions 338 to 795 of the family's 1533-position model. The record is from RNAcentral.
CCUACGGGUGGCAGCAGUGGGGAAUAUUGGGCAAUGGACGCAAGUCUGACCCAGCAACGCCGCGUGAAGGAAGAAGGCUUUCGGGUUGUAAACUUCUGUUCUUAGUGAAGAAUAAUGACGGUAGCUAAGGAGCAAGCCACGGCUAACUACGUGCCAGCAGCCGCGGUAAUACGUAGGUGGCAAGCGUUGUCCGGAAUUACUGGGUGUAAAGGGAGCGCAGGCGGGAAGCCAAGUCAGCUGUGAAAACUACGGGCUUAACUUGUAGACUGCAGUUGAAACUGGUUUUCUUGGGUGAAGUAGAGGUUGGCGGAAUUCCGAGUGUAGCGGUGAAAUGCGUAGAUAUUCGGAGGAACACCGGUGGCGAAGGCGGCCAACUGGGCUUUAACUGACGCUGAGGCUCGAAAGUGUGGGGAGCAAACAGGAUUAGAUACCCGAGUAGUC